GGAUGCGAUCAUACCAGCACUUAAAGCACC
RNAcentral lists this ribosomal RNA (30 nucleotides) under Hordeum vulgare. The record is from RNAcentral. Lineage: Eukaryota; Viridiplantae; Streptophyta; Magnoliopsida; Poales; Poaceae.